UACAGAGGGGGCUAGCGUUGUUCGGAAUUACUGGGCGUAAAGGGCGCGUAGGCGGCCCGCUAAGUCGAACGUGAAAUCCCCGGGCUCAACCCGGGAACUGCGUCCGAUACUGGCGGGCUUGAAUCCGGGAGAGGGAUGUGGAAUUCCAGGUGUAGCGGUGAAAUGCGUAGAUAUCUGGAGGAACACCGGUGGCGAAGGCGGCAUCCUGGACCGGUAUUGACGCUCAGACCCGAAAGCGUGGGUAGCAAACAGG
This 253-nucleotide ribosomal RNA is filed under the name uncultured bacterium. Its description in RNAcentral is "partial 16S ribosomal RNA". It matches the Rfam family "Bacterial small subunit ribosomal RNA", at positions 524 to 776 of the family's 1533-position model. The record is from RNAcentral.